RNAcentral lists this ribosomal RNA (497 nucleotides) under uncultured bacterium. RNAcentral describes it as "partial 16S ribosomal RNA". It matches the Rfam family "Bacterial small subunit ribosomal RNA", at positions 28 to 507 of the family's 1533-position model. The record is from RNAcentral.
GAUGAACGCUGGCGGCGUGCCUAAUACAUGCAAGUCGAGCGAACAGACGAGGAGCUUGCUCCUCUGACGUUAGCGGCGGACGGGUGAGUAACACGUGGAUAACCUACCUAUAAGACUGGGAUAACUUCGGGAAACCGGAGCUAAUACCGGAUAAUAUAUUGAACCGCAUGGUUCAAUAGUGAAAGACGGUUUUGCUGUCACUUAUAGAUGGAUCCGCGCCGCAUUAGCUAGUUGGUAAGGUAACGGCUUACCAAGGCAACGAUGCGUAGCCGACCUGAGAGGGUGAUCGGCCACACUGGAACUGAGACACGGUCCAGACUCCUACGGGAGGCAGCAGUAGGGAAUCUUCCGCGAUGGGCGAAAGCCUGACGGAGCAACGCCGCGUGAGUGAUGAAGGUCUUCGGAUCGUAAAACUCUGUUAGUAGGGAGGAACAAAUGUGUAAGUAACUAUGCACGUCUUGACGGUACCUAGUCAGAAAGCCACGGCUAACUACGUG